This 666-nucleotide ribosomal RNA is filed under the name Pediococcus pentosaceus. RNAcentral describes it as "bacterial SSU rRNA". It matches the Rfam family "Bacterial small subunit ribosomal RNA", at positions 364 to 1021 of the family's 1533-position model. The record is from RNAcentral. Lineage: Bacteria; Bacillati; Bacillota; Bacilli; Lactobacillales; Lactobacillaceae.
UUCCACAAUGGACGCAAGUCUGAUGGAGCAACGCCGCGUGAGUGAAGAAGGGUUUCGGCUCGUAAAGCUCUGUUGUUAAAGAAGAACGUGGGUAAGAGUAACUGUUUACCCAGUGACGGUAUUUAACCAGAAAGCCACGGCUAACUACGUGCCAGCAGCCGCGGUAAUACGUAGGUGGCAAGCGUUAUCCGGAUUUAUUGGGCGUAAAGCGAGCGCAGGCGGUCUUUUAAGUCUAAUGUGAAAGCCUUCGGCUCAACCGAAGAAGUGCAUUGGAAACUGGGAGACUUGAGUGCAGAAGAGGACAGUGGAACUCCAUGUGUAGCGGUGAAAUGCGUAGAUAUAUGGAAGAACACCAGUGGCGAAGGCGGCUGUCUGGUCUGCAACUGACGCUGAGGCUCGAAAGCAUGGGUAGCGAACAGGAUUAGAUACCCUGGUAGUCCAUGCCGUAAACGAUGAUUACUAAGUGUUGGAGGGUUUCCGCCCUUCAGUGCUGCAGCUAACGCAUUAAGUAAUCCGCCUGGGGAGUACGACCGCAAGGUUGAAACUCAAAAGAAUUGACGGGGGCCCGCACAAGCGGUGGAGCAUGUGGUUUAAUUCGAAGCUACGCGAAGAACCUUACCAGGUCUUGACAUCUUCUGACAGUCUAAGAGAUUACAGGUUCCCUUC